UUCUUUUUUAAUUGGUUGUGGCUCUGCCUUUCCAACAAUUUCGGUUUUCUUUUCCUAGUUUCACGCUUUCGUUUCUUUUGGGCAUAUUGUCAAACUGUGGGUGUAAAAGGCAGACGGAGAAGGUAUGGUACAAAAAUCUAUAAAUACUCUCGAUGCAAAACGUUUUUAGCUGGAAUAAUAUGCAAUAAUGAGCAUAAAUAUGUGAUUAAACUGAGGAGGCUCGACGAUUGAAGUUCGAAAGAAAGCAAAGAAAAUAGUAAACACACAGCCGGCAAUCAAAUCAAAUGAAAUCAAACUAAAUAUACCAUUGACCAGCCCACCAAAGGAGGCGAAAUGUUGGAAAUGGAGGUGACUUGAGGGAAAUGCAAAAGCAAAAGAGCAAUGAACCCUGCUCGAACCCAAAGAAAGCAACAAAAAGUGUGCACUGAAAAAAUCGAUGAAAGUUACUCAAAAUAAAACCAAGCUAAAAAACCUCAGAAAUCUUUUCCCCUUA
Molecule: long non-coding RNA, 493 nt
Organism: Drosophila ficusphila
Lineage: Eukaryota; Metazoa; Arthropoda; Insecta; Diptera; Drosophilidae
Exons: 2
Source: RefSeq, a predicted model, not a curated record